This 497-nucleotide ribosomal RNA is filed under the name uncultured bacterium. RNAcentral's name for it is "partial 16S ribosomal RNA". It matches the Rfam family "Bacterial small subunit ribosomal RNA", at positions 28 to 507 of the family's 1533-position model. The record is from RNAcentral.
GAUGAACGCUGGCGGCGUGCCUAAUACAUGCAAGUCGAGCGAACGGACGAGAAGCUUGCUUCUCUGAUGUUAGCGGCGGACGGGUGAGUAACACGUGGAUAACCUACCUAUAAGACUGGGAUAACUUCGGGAAACCGUAGCUAAUACCGGAUAAUAUUUUGAACCGCAUGGUUCAAAAGUGAAAGACGGUCUUGCUGUCACUUAUAGAUGGAUCCGCGCUGCAUUAGCUAGUUGGUAAGGUAACGGCUUACCAAGGCAACGAUGCAUAUCCGACCGGAGAGGGUGAUCGGCCACACUGGAACUGAGACACGGUCCAGACUCCUACGGGAGGCAGCAGUAGGGAAUCUUCCGCAAUGGGCGAAAGCCUGACGGAGCAACGCCGCGUGAGUGAUGAAGGUCUUCGGAUCGUAAAACUCUGUUAUUAGGGAAGAACAUAUGUGUAAGUAACUGUGCACAUCUUGACGGUACCUAAUCAGAAAGCCACGGCUAACUACGUG